RNAcentral lists this ribosomal RNA (253 nucleotides) under uncultured bacterium. Its description in RNAcentral is "partial 16S ribosomal RNA". It matches the Rfam family "Bacterial small subunit ribosomal RNA", at positions 524 to 776 of the family's 1533-position model. The record is from RNAcentral.
GACGAACCGUCCGAACGUUAUUCGGUAUUACUGGGCUUAAAGAGUUCGUAGGCGGCUUGGUAGGUGAGGUGUGAAAGCCCACGGCUCAACCGUGGAACAGCGCUUCAAACCACCAAGCUUGAGGAUGGCAGGGGUAAUGGGAACUGAUGGUGGAGCGGUGAAAUGCGUUGAUAUCAUCAGGAACACCGGUGGCGAAAGCGCAUUACUGGGCCAUUUCUGACGCUGAGGAACGAAAGCUAGGGUAGCGAACGGG